GAUGAACGCUGGCGGCGUGCCUAAUACAUGCAAGUAGAACGCUGAAGGAGGAGCUUGCUCUUCUGGAUGAGUUGCGAACGGGUGAGUAACGCGUACGUAACCUGCCUGGUAGCGGGGGAUAACUAUUGGAAACGAUAGCUAAUACCGCAUGACAACAGGUAUUGCAUGAUAACUGUUUAAAAGGGGCAACUGCUCCACUACCAGAUGGACCUGCGUUGUAUUAGCUAGUUGGUGAGGUAACGGCUCACCAAGGCGACGAUACAUAGCCGACCUGAGAGGGGGAACGGCCAAACUGGGAAUGGGGCCCGGCCCAGAACUCUACGGGAGGCAGCAGUAGGGAAUCUUCGGCAAUGGACGGAAGUCUGACCGAGCACCGCCGCGUGAGUGAAGAAGGUUUUCGGAUCGUAAAGCUGUGUUGUAAGAGAAGAACGAGUGUGAGAGUGAAAAGCUCACACUGUGACGGUAUCUGAACAGAAAGCGACGGCUAACUACGUG
Molecule: ribosomal RNA, 495 nt
Filed under: uncultured bacterium
Lineage: Bacteria
Description: partial 16S ribosomal RNA
Rfam family: Bacterial small subunit ribosomal RNA
Source: RNAcentral